Molecule: ribosomal RNA, 451 nt
Filed under: uncultured bacterium
Lineage: Bacteria
Description: partial 16S ribosomal RNA
Rfam family: Bacterial small subunit ribosomal RNA
Source: RNAcentral
AGCGAACGCUGGCGGCAGGCUUAACACAUGCAAGUCGAGCGGGCAUCUUCGGGUGUCAGCGGCGGACGGGUGAGUAACGCGUGGGAACGUGCCUUCUGGUUCGGAAUAACUCAGGGAGACUUGAGCUAAUACCGGAUACGCCCUUUUGGGGAAAGGUUUACUGCCGGAAGAUCGGCCCGCGUCUGAUUAGCUAGUUGGUGGGGUAACGGCCUACCAAGGCGACGAUCAGUAGCUGGUCUGAGAGGAUGAUCAGCCACACUGGGACUGAGACACGGCCCAGACUCCUACGGGAGGCAGCAGUGGGGAAUAUUGGACAACGGGGGCAACCCUGAUCCAGCCAUGCCGCGUGAGUGAUGAAGGCCUUAGGGUUGUAAAGCUCUUUUAUCCGGGACGAUAAUGACGGUACCGGAGGAAUAAGCCCCGGCUAACUUCGUGCCAGCAGCCGCCGUAA